GAGGUUGUGGCUCAGUGGAAGAGCGCUCGCCUGGCAUGCAUGAGGCACUGGGUUCGAUCCUCAGCACCACA
RNAcentral lists this transfer RNA (71 nucleotides) under Marmota monax (woodchuck). RNAcentral's name for it is "tRNA.Ala". It matches the Rfam family "tRNA". From Rfam's summary of the family: Transfer RNA (tRNA) molecules are approximately 80 nucleotides in length. Their secondary structure includes four short double-helical elements and three loops (D, anti-codon, and T loops). Further hydrogen bonds mediate the characteristic L-shaped molecular structure. tRNAs have two regions of fundamental functional importance: the anti-codon, which is responsible for specific mRNA codon recognition, and the 3' end, to which the tRNAs corresponding amino acid is attached (by aminoacyl-tRNA synthetases). tRNAs cope with the degeneracy of the genetic code in two manners: having more than one tRNA (with a specific anti-codon) for a particular amino acid; and 'wobble' base-pairing, i.e. permitting non-standard base-pairing at the 3rd anti-codon position. The record is from RNAcentral. Lineage: Eukaryota; Metazoa; Chordata; Mammalia; Rodentia; Sciuridae.